RNAcentral lists this ribosomal RNA (250 nucleotides) under uncultured bacterium. RNAcentral's name for it is "partial 16S ribosomal RNA". It matches the Rfam family "Bacterial small subunit ribosomal RNA", at positions 524 to 773 of the family's 1533-position model. The record is from RNAcentral.
UACGAAGGGAGCUAGCGUUGUUCGGAAUCACUGGGCGUAAAGCGCACGUAGGCGGAUGUGUCAGUCAGGGGUGAAAUCCCGGAGCUCAACUUCGGAACUGCCCUUGAUACAGCACGUCUUGAGUCCGAGAGAGGUGGAUGGAAUUCCUAGUGUAGAGGUGAAAUUCGUAGAUAUUAGGAAGAACACCGGUGGCGAAGGCGGUCCACUGGCUCGGUACUGACGCUGAGGUGCGAAAGCGUGGGGAGCAAAC